Fukomys damarensis (Damara mole-rat) is the source of this 648-nucleotide long non-coding RNA. RefSeq lists it as uncharacterized. The transcript is spliced from 3 exons. Lineage: Eukaryota; Metazoa; Chordata; Mammalia; Rodentia; Bathyergidae. The record is from RefSeq and is a predicted model, not a curated record.
CUAUGAGCUAGUACCAACUUUCCCUCACUGUAAGGAGAUCACCUCUGUGUUUUCCCAGGGGAAAUUGCUCUUUUAAAGUCACGGUGUCCUCCCCUUGGUUGACACGAGUGCAGGGGGAAGACCAGCCCCUGAGCUCACCCCAGAGCUUCCUUGCCAACACCAUACCCAAGGCUGCCCCUGAGAUGGGCACUGUGGACACCAUAAAGAUGUUUGCAGGCAGCUCCUGCAGAGCAUGGAAAUGGAACCCAACAUCAGCUGCCAUCGCCCUGCACCCCAAAAGAACAUCACUUCUGCCCCCCUUCUACACGCACUGGAAUCCAAAGCUGUCUGUGCAGUGUCUGCAGCUCAUGGCUGGGGGACUUGUCGCAGUUGCCUCUGGUGUGACCUCAAAAUAUGCCUAGUUUUGGCUCUGGGGUUCACUCACAGUCUGUGGCCUCCUUUUUUGGGGGCGGGCAGAGUCCUGUGAGGGAUCCAGCCCUUCCCUGCAUCUCCACCGAAAGCCUCUGAGCUCGAGACAUCUGCGGGGUUGGAGAGUUUCCCGAGGGCUGCGACAAGUGGGAAGAUUCACAUCCCAAGGGACACACGACGUUUCAUUUCCUCUGUAUUUUUUCUCAAAGUUCCUCGCCACAUUUACAGAAUGGACUUCCC